CGGAGUGCAACAGACAGAUGACAAAAACUAGUGGAAAAACAACAAGAAGGAAUGCCUCCACUGCGGCCUGCCUGCAUGCUUCGAUCCCCCCUCAAUGUUUUUACACCUCCAAUUUGAAGCAGCGAUGGGAUUAGUUGGUGGGAUUGUUGGCAGAGGCGCCUCGCUCCACAUGCAUGUAAUCUAGGAGACAAGGAAGAAUGAAAGAAGAAAUUCUGUGCGGAUGAAGGCAGCAGAAACGGGAUGACGGGGAAGAAUCGGCAGAGCCGCUGGAAACAGAAAUCCAUCUUCAGGCUUCCAGGAGAUCAGGAUUUUACGACACCGUGCGCUGGUCGUCAUUGGAAACGCAUGGCAAAACACUCCCGCUUUUGUCCACCUGUGUCACCAAAAUCGACCAAAAUUACACUACUACUAUUACUAAAUUACAAGCGAGGGGAUGAGUUAUUGUCUCGAAAGGGAUCCUUGUUUUGUAUUCAGGGCAGUGUUGUUUUCGUCUACAAUGACGAUAACGAAAAUAUUUCGUCAGCGAACAAUUUUUUUUGUGACGAUGACGCACUGAAAACUGUGUCUUGGGAGAGUAAAACACAACGAGAUGGAUGCCAGUUUUCGUCUGACGACACGAGAACGAGAUGAAAAUUCGCCAUUGUUUCCGUCAUAAAUUCACAAUGUGUGAUAUUUUCUUAUUGUAUGUGUAGUUAGAACGCAUUUAGCAGUGUUUAGUCAUGUCACUCGUGACGUGCUGCGCUAACCCCACCCCCUUGCCCCACACACAGGCUUAAGCGUGUGCCCAUUCCAGGCUCCUUUUGCGAAACGUGUGAUGUUCUGCUUGGCAAGUUUUCUUAGCUAUGCCAUAAUGCUUUAACCGUUAAACGUCUGUGAUGAGUGAUCAUCACACACUGAACUAACGUUAACUCGUUAGCAUAGCAUUCGCGUUACCAUUAGCAUUUAGCGCGGUAACUCGUUGUCUUCUUAAACUCUGGGAAAAUAUUUUACAUACAGUUCGUGGCGUCCAGAUGAGUUUAAUUACCGUAAUUUCCUGAAUAUCAUGCACAUUUUUUUCCCCCCAAAAUCGACUUGUAAAAUACUGGGUGCGCAUUAUACACGGGUACAGGGAUAGAGACAGAAAUAAAUAUAUACUGUAUAUAAAAAAAAAAUUUUAAAUGGCCGUCUCGCCCACCCGGGCGGUAUGGUCUCUCCUUUCAAGCUCGGGUCCUCUACCAGAGGCCUGGGAGCUUGAGGGUCCUGCGCAGUAUCGUAGCUGUCCCUAGGAUUGUGCUCUUCUGAAUGGAGACGUCGGACGUUGUUCCUGGUAUCUGUUGGAGCCAUGCACCCAGCUACUUCAGGGCAAGUGACAUUUAAACUAGGGCUGUCAAAAUUUUCGCGUUAACGGGCGUUAAUUAAUUUUUAAAAAUUAAUCACGUUAAAAUAUUUGACGCAAUUAACACACAUGCCCCGCUCAAACAGAUUAGAAUGACAGCACAGUAUCAUGUCCACUUGUUACUUGUGUUUUUUGGCGUUUUGUCGCCCUCUGCUGGCGCUUGGGUAAGACUGAUUUUAGCACCAUGAGCAUUGUGUAAUUAUUGACAUCAACAAUGGUGAGCUACUAGUUUAUUUUUUGAUUGAACAUUUUACAAAUUUUAUUAAAACGAAAACAUUAAGUGGAAUUUUAAUAUAAAAUUUCUAUAACUUGUACUAACAUUUAUCUUUUAAGAACUACAAGUCUUUCUAUCCAUGGAUCACUUUAACAGAAUGUUAUUGCCAACUUGUUGAUUUAUUGUUAUAAUAAACAAAUACAGUACUUAUGUACAGUAUGUUGAAUGUAUACAUCUGUCUUGUGUCUUAUCUUUCCAUUCCAACAAUAAUUUACAGAAAAAUAUGGCAUAUUUUAUAGAUAGUUUGAAUUGCGAUUAAUUACGAUUAAUUAUUUUUAAGCUGUGAUUAACUUGAUUAAACAUUUUAAUCGUUUGGCAGCCCUAAUUUAAACAAGAUGUUAUAUUUAAUUAGUUAGACUGUAUAACAGUCAAAAUACAGAUCUUUUCUCCAACAUGACAAAUAAUCAUGAUUAAUAGUUGUGAUUACAAUAUUAGUCAAAAUAUUUCUGAAAUUGACUGCAGGGCUGUCCAAGCUGUAGUCUGUGUGAUAUAUUUUGUUAAGAAACGUCAAUGGCAGGUUAGUGGUUAAUGUAGCUGAUCUAUUUCCAGCCCUAAUAUAGCUAUAUACUAGUACAGUACAAACAACAUCAUUUUCAGUAUCAUGGUUCGUAUAGUUCAGGGGUCCCCAUCUGCCGGGCCGCUGACCGGUACCGGUCCGUGGCGCAUUUGCGACCGGGCCGCAAAGAAAAAAAUAAUUUAAUAACGACCGCAUUCUGGCCGAAUUAACCCUGUACCCCUGCUUAACACACCAAUAUCUCUGUCUACUCUAGAUAUAAUACUACGGGAUAGAUUACAAUGUUGUCAUAGAAGUCCAUUGAUUGGAAUGCUAGCAGUACAUCUUGUUUGUGUAUAUAAUAUAUCUAUGUGCGCUUGUCCUCGAUAAUAGCGGCCGCGGCGCAGCACAUUUGUUCCCGGAAAUAAUUAGCCCCCACACGAGCGAAGAUAACAGGAAAACAGACGUCUUUGGAAAUAUUUUUACGGCGAAAAUGAUAUUUUUAGGGCGAAAAGGGCACCUGACGAGCCUACAACCUCGAAGACCCACGAACUGCGAAGGAGUGGAUUCGUGACCCAUUUGUGAAUAAACAGAGAGAGAUCGCAAAUGACGGCGACCUUAUUAAACGUUCAUUUGAGACAACAACUCUAUCGAGGUUCUGGAUUAAAGUCAUUCUUGAAUAUCCUGACAUCGCGACAAGAGCGUUGAAAACCUUGCUACAAUUUCCAACAUUGUAUCUUUGUGAAGCAGGCUUCUUAAUUAAUGUUUAACGACAAGGCGAAGUCGUUAAUGGUGAGCGCGGUGUGAAGCUGUUGUGUGAAGCUUACAUGGCAGGAUGAAUCUGAGGAGAACUUUUCUACAAGUCCUUCCAUGAUCAAACGUAAGUUAAUAUUCCUUUCUUUCAAGAAAGUUUGUAGUGUUUACUUUGGAAUCGCUGCAUUUGCGCAUUUUGUGGCUAUGUUUAGCGUUACGCGCAUGCGCAGAGCCGCAUCGUUGCAAUUUUUGAUGGGUUGCAAAAUUUGUCAGAACACCGGUCUGUGAAAAAAAGACCCAAAUAACACCGGUCCAUGGUGGAAAAAAGGUUGGGGACCCCUGGUAUAGUUGACCACCAGGAGCGUGUAUCGGUACCUAAUAUUAUGACUUGCAUGUAUAUUUAAACUAGGGCUGUCAAAAUUAUCGCGUUAACGGGCGGUAAUUAAUUCUUUAAAUUAAUCAUGUUAAAAUAUUUGACGCAAUUAA
Corythoichthys intestinalis (scribbled pipefish) is the source of this 3381-nucleotide long non-coding RNA. RefSeq lists it as uncharacterized. NCBI's taxonomy places the organism in Eukaryota, Metazoa, Chordata, Actinopteri, Syngnathiformes, Syngnathidae. The record is from RefSeq and is a predicted model, not a curated record. The transcript has 3 exons.